UGCAGCGUGCAGGAAGAAGGCUUCGCGGUUGUAAUCUGCUUUUGUCAGGAAAGAAAUCUUCUGGGUUAAUACCUCGGGAGGAUGACGGUACCUGAAGAAUAAGCACCGGCUAACUACGUGCCAGCAGCCGCGGUAAUACGUAGGGUGCGAGCGUUAAUCGGAAUUACUGGGCGUAAAGCGUGCGCAGGCGGCUUUGCAAGACAGAGGUGAAAUCCCCGGGCUCAACCUGGGAACUGCCUUUGUGACUGCAAGGCUAGAGUACGGCACGAGGGGGAUGGAAUUCCGCGUGUAGCAGUGAAAUGCGUAGAUAUGCGGAGGAACACCAAUGGCGAAGCGCAAUCCCCUGGGCCUGUACUGACGCUCAUGCACGACAGCGUGGGGAGCAAACAGGAUCAGAUACCCUGGUAGUCCACGCCCUAAACGACUGUCAACUGGUUGUUGGACGGCUUGCUGUACAGUAACGAAGCUAACGCGUGAAGUUGACCGCCUGGGGAGUACGGCCGCAACGUCGAAACUCAACGGAAUUGACGGGGACCCGCACAAGCGGUGGAUGAUGUGGUCCAAUUCGAUGCAACGCGAACACACUUAGCUACCCUUGACAUGUCACGAAUCUCGCAGAGAUGUGCGAGUGCUCGACCGAGAGGCUUG
This 648-nucleotide ribosomal RNA is filed under the name uncultured bacterium. Its description in RNAcentral is "bacterial SSU rRNA". It matches the Rfam family "Bacterial small subunit ribosomal RNA", at positions 395 to 1030 of the family's 1533-position model. The record is from RNAcentral.